GACGCAGGGUUCGGCCGACCUACUGAGCUCGUUUCCCGUAUUCAAGAGUUCCUCUGUGUCGAAGACUAGGAUAGUGAUAGGUGAUAGUGAUGUAAACGUAGACGAUGUAUCUGGUCAUGUAAAUCCUCUAAGGAUAGCUUUUUGUUCUGUAAUGUGGGUAUUUGUAACGUGCUGUAAUGAAACUUUCGUUUUUUCGUUCAU
RNAcentral lists this long non-coding RNA (201 nucleotides) under Manihot esculenta (cassava). Its description in RNAcentral is "long non-coding RNA (MESC_LNC006952)". The record is from RNAcentral. Lineage: Eukaryota; Viridiplantae; Streptophyta; Magnoliopsida; Malpighiales; Euphorbiaceae.